CCUACGGGUGGCUGCAGUGGGGAAUAUUGGACAAUGGGGGCAACCCUGAUCCAGCCAUGCCGCGUGUGUGAAGAAGGCCCUCGGGUUGUAAAGCACUUUCAGUGAGGAAGAACGCCUGGUGGUUAAUACCCAUCAGGAAAGACAUCACUCACAGAAGAAGCACCGGCUAACUCCGUGCCAGCAGCCGCGGUAAUACGGAGGGUGCGAGCGUUAAUCGGAAUUACUGGGCGUAAAGCGCGCGUAGGUGGCUUGAUAAGCCGGUUGUGAAAGCCCCGGGCUCAACCUGGGAACGGCAUCCGGAACUGUCAAGCUAGAGUGCAGGAGAGGAAGGUAGAAUUCCCGGUGUAGCGGUGAAAUGCGUAGAGAGCGGGAGGAAUACCAGUGGCGAAGGCGGCCUUCUGGACUGACACUGACACUGAGGUGCGAAAGCGUGGGUAGCAAACAGGAUUAGAUACCCGAGUAGUC
This 465-nucleotide ribosomal RNA is filed under the name Vreelandella stevensii. RNAcentral's name for it is "partial 16S ribosomal RNA". It matches the Rfam family "Bacterial small subunit ribosomal RNA", at positions 338 to 795 of the family's 1533-position model. Lineage: Bacteria; Pseudomonadati; Pseudomonadota; Gammaproteobacteria; Oceanospirillales; Halomonadaceae. The record is from RNAcentral.